RNAcentral lists this ribosomal RNA (253 nucleotides) under uncultured bacterium. RNAcentral's name for it is "partial 16S ribosomal RNA". It matches the Rfam family "Bacterial small subunit ribosomal RNA", at positions 524 to 776 of the family's 1533-position model. The record is from RNAcentral.
GACAGAGGGUGCUAGCGUUGUUCGGAAUUACUGGGCGUAAAGGGCGCGUAGGCGGCUUGUUUAGUCGGGUGUGAAAUCCCGGGGCUCAACCCCGGAACUGCAUUCGAUACUGGCAGGCUAGAGACCGGAAGAGGUGGGUGGAAUACCCAGUGUAGAGGUGAAAUUCGUAGAUAUUGGGUGGAACACCGGUGGCGAAGGCGGCGCACUGGUCCGGAUCUGACGCUGAGGCGCGAAAGCCAGGGGAGCAAACGGG